This 499-nucleotide ribosomal RNA is filed under the name uncultured bacterium. RNAcentral's name for it is "partial 16S ribosomal RNA". It matches the Rfam family "Bacterial small subunit ribosomal RNA", at positions 28 to 523 of the family's 1533-position model. The record is from RNAcentral.
GAUGAACGCUGGCGGCGUGCCUAACACAUGCAAGUCGAGCGAGAUUAGUGCAAGUGGAGACUUCGGUCAAAGCGACCACUAUGAAAGCGGCGGACGGGUGAGUAACGCGUGAGCAAUCUGCCCCAUACAAAGGGAUACCCACUGGAAACGGUGAUUAAUACCUUAUAAGACCACAGAGUCGCAUGGCUCGGGGGUCAAAGCUUUAUCGGUAUGGGAUGAGCUCGCGUCUGAUUAGCUAGUUGGUGAGGUAAUGGCUCACCAAGGCGACGAUCAGUAGCCGACCUGAGAGGGUGAACGGCCACACUGGAACUGAGACACGGUCCAGACUCCUACGGGAGGCAGCAGUGGGGAAUAUUGCACAAUGGGCGCAAGCCUGAUGCAGCAACGCCGCGUGAAUGAUGAAGGCCUUCGGGUCGUAAAGUUCUGUCCAAAGGGAAGAAUACAGUGACGGUACCUUUGGAGGAAGCCCCGGCUAACUACGUGCCAGCCGCCGCCGUAA